CGUAGUUAGGGUGUUAAGUAUUUUUUCUAGAGUAUCUUCCUCUACUAUAUCAGUCUGUGUAGCUUUGUCUUGAUAUGUAAUCUGCAAUGACAUUUUUGUUAGUACUAAUCACUUCAAUUGUAAAUGUGAAAUUUAAUAUAUUUAAAACUAGUCUUCGAAUCUCUUUUGUUGUAACUGAAUUUUGUAUUUUCUUUGUUAGCCACCAACGUACCUGUGUAUUAUCUGUUCGUACAAUAAAUUUGUUAUAUACAAUAUAUGGCUCAAAUGAUAAUAAACACUUAUAUAAUGAACAUAACUCUUUUCUAUUUAUUUCCCAUUUUAUUUCUGUUUCGUUGAACGUACCUGAGUAAUAUCUACAAUGAUGUUCUAUUUUUUCUGCUUCAUAUCGAUAUUUAAGUACUCCUCCGUAACUAUAUUCACUUGCAUCUGCUUCUACUAUAUAUAUAAAUUUUCUAUUUUCAUCUGGAAAUUGCAAUUUUGGUAAUUCUCUACAAAGUAAUUUUAUUUUUUGAACUUGUUUUUUAUCUUUUUCAUCAUAAUUAUAUUCUAUAUCCUUUUUUAAUUUUUUCUGCAGUGGUUUUAAGGUUUCUGCUAAUUUUGGAAUAUAUUCUCUUACUUGGUUUACUAAUCCUAAAAAUGAUUGUAAUUUCUUUUUUGUAUCUAAUUCUUCUUUCGAAUUUAUUAUUUUUUGUACUAUAUGUUGUUGCAUUUUUACUCCACUUUUAUCUAUUUGUAUUCCUAAAAAUUCUAUCUGGUUUUUCAUAAUUUCAGCUUUCUUUUUGCUUAGACUUAUUCCUGAUUUUUCUAUUAUAUCUGUUUAAAAUUAUUUUGUAGCUGUUUGUUUUAGUCUUAGUAGUUUUUGCAUAUUUUUAUUGAGAAAUUUUAUAUCUUUGUUUUCCAUGUGUUUAUUUUUUUUUUAUUUUUUAUUUUUUCUAGUAACUACAAAGUUUUUUUUUUUAUCUUUUUUCUAAAAUUUUAUGUAACUUAUUACCUUAAGUAUUUAUAAGAGUAGUUAGGUAUUUGUGGUAUAUAGCUUAUUCUAGACGUAUAAUUUUCACCAAAAGCUUUUUCUAAUAUUAUUUUUCUUAUAUCUGCUACUUUUAUAUUUCUAAGUGCAUACAAAAUAAGUAUCUUGAAUUUAUCUACCAUCACAUCAGAUAUAUUAUCAUUCAUUUUUCAUAAAUUUGCUUUUUUCAAAAUAUUCCCUUCAAUCACGUACACAACAAAAUAUGGUCAUAUUGGCUUACUAUAUACUAGAUUAUUCUUAAAUAAUAUGUUCUUCCGUCACUAUUAACAUGGUAAUCUGGAUACUUUUUCCCUUAAACAGCGCCUCUACUCUGGUUACUCCCCGCCACGGCUUCUUGCCUCAUUGGUUUCACCUUUAGGAUGGCAUAGUCCUUAGGGAUAUUUCUCCGUUUCCUCUUUGUUAAUAAACUUCUUAACAUAUUAUUCUUCGAAUAAUUCUACUAUAAAGUAACUAAUAUGAAUUUAUUUUAUCAUAUCAUGAUUGUUGGGAAUUAUGAAAUUAGCUAUUCAUAAUUAUAAAUAGAUAUACCUGUUCCGGUAGCUUUGAUGUUUCUGAGUUUUGUUGUUCCUGUUGUUCCAUAGCUUUUUCCAUUGGAGUAUAUUUUUCUAAUUAACUGAGUAAAUUUUUUGUUUGUGGAAUGGAGAGAGAGAUUUGUUUCAAAAGAAGGUUUGCGGCUUGCGGCCUGCUUUCCGCAAUACCCCUGCCUUUGUAUUUAUAGAAUGCUUUUUACAUAUCUGCCAAUUCUACAAAGUAAUGAAAAUUUAAAACAGUGGGGCCUAUCCCACCUAACUUAUCCUAAAUUCCUAAGUUACUUUACACGUAAAGCUUUACAUUCAAUUUUCUAAAACUUAAGAAAGUAAAAUGUCAACUAUAGUGGCUACAAAAAGGNNN
RNAcentral lists this long non-coding RNA (1918 nucleotides) under Capsicum annuum. RNAcentral's name for it is "long non-coding RNA (CANN_LNC010503)". The record is from RNAcentral. Lineage: Eukaryota; Viridiplantae; Streptophyta; Magnoliopsida; Solanales; Solanaceae.